CCACAGACUUCAUAGGCUUCUUGGCUUGUGGAGCUGGAGAAGCUUAUGAGAGGCCAGUGAGUCUAUACCAUGGUCUCUCCCCGCGAGGCCAUCGAGGCCUUGGGGAAAGACCAUCCCACAGGUUCCCUCAAUACCAUGCUCCAGGGGAUGACAACUUCUUCCUUCUAUCUUCUCAUCCCCUGUGGCCUUUGGUUGAGAUUUUGUCACACAUGCAUGCCCCCUGGCCCCAGGGCCUUCUGUCUCUUCUUCAGACUUUACAAUCUUUACAUUCAUUUCAAUCCCCUUACCAACACUUCUGGAAACCCCAGCGUUGCCACUGUGCUCAAAGCUGAGGGUCCUAAAGGGAUGAAAUGAAUCUAGAGGGGAGGCAAACAUGCACAUAGGAAAUUAUAAACCUCGGGGAGGGGCAGGGACAGCGCCAUGUACCGGAUGCCUUGUGAGUGCAUAGGAGAGGCCGCUAGCCCCACUUGGGAGGUAGAGAAAAAUCUCCCAGAGAAAGGGACAGCUAAGCCCCUUGGCACACCGUGAUUAUCUUCUUUUUGUGCACAUACAAGCCACUCUUUCCCCACCUUCCAAUACAAUCUCAGAGCUAAAUGGGACUCUAAAUCUCAGGCAUCUGGUAACUAUGAAAUCAUUCUCCGCCUCAGUUUCCUCAACUGUAAAAUGUGGAAAAUAAUAUAACCUACUUUGUAGGGUUGUUGGGAGGUGCUAAAGGAACUAAUUUAUGUAAAAUGCUUAGAACCACACCUGGGGACAGAGUACAUACUUAAAGGUGUUACCUAUUAUCAUCAUCAUUAAAUCCAGGCAAUUUUGUAAUACUGGCUCCCCUCCCUGGUAUCUCAGAUAUAGUGAAAAUCUACUUGCUUGGUGCUGUUUGCUUUUCUCCACAAGUAUGUCACGGUGACAUUUUUCAUUCUGAUUGUUGAAUCAUCUCCAGUUUGCCACUGAGAAUUCCUCUAAGCCCAUAUUGGCUAAUCAGUUCCCUUGGAGCACAGGUCUUUAACCCACCAGAAAGCAGCCUGCCCUGGUAUUGUCUAGCUCAUGUUUCCAAAUCUGUCCUCACGGAUUUCAUGAGAGCUGGGAGCAGAUGCUCUAUGGAAAGCCAUCUGCAGAUUCCCCUCCACCCCCACCUCCCACCAAGCCAUCAGGAGAGCAGAGCCAUAAAGAAGAACGAAGUUUGUCUGGCAUGAUUUGUUCUUUGUUAACUUAUGAUCUUACAGUGAUUUGUUUGUUGUUGUUAUAAAAAAGAAUAUUUAUUUAGAAUAAAAAUACCCAAUCUCAUACCAGUCAGAAUGGCUAUUAUUAAAAAGUCAAAAAAUGACAAUGAUUCUUAUCAACCACACAUUUGGCAUCUAAGGGCUGACGAGACGUAGGUUUAGUAAUUGAUCCAGAUGCUUGUCUAACAUCGGCAUGGAAUUCACAAGGCAAGGAAUUCCCAAGUCCAUAGGUCACAGGAGGUCCACAGAAGGCCCGCCUUCUCCUGCAUUUUUGUCAAACACUGUCCCAGAUGAGCCCCUUCAGUCUCUUAGGAGUGCUCUGACCUCUGUAGUUUCUCACGGGCCCCUAACCUUUGUUUAGCAGUAUCAGCUUUGGGUUUUCUGGGUAUCUGGA
This 1611-nucleotide long non-coding RNA is filed under the name Homo sapiens (human). RNAcentral's name for it is "HSALNT0022681". Lineage: Eukaryota; Metazoa; Chordata; Mammalia; Primates; Hominidae. The record is from RNAcentral.